GUGCCAGCAGCCGCGGUAAUACGUAGGAGACGAGCGUUAUCCGGAUUUACUGGGCGUAAAGAGGGCGUAGGCGGUCUUUCAAGUCGGAUGUGAAAUCUCCCGGCUUAACUGGGAGGGGUCAUUCGAUACUGUUGGGCUAGAGGGCAGCAGAGGGAGGUGGAAUUCCCGGUGUAGUGGUGAAAUGCGUAGAUAUCGGGAGGAACACCAGUGGCGAAGGCGGCCUCCUGGGCUGUUUCUGACGCUGAGGCCCAAAAGCGUGGGGAGCGAACAGGAUUAGAUACCCUGGUAGUCCACGCUGUAAACUAUGGACACUAGGUAUGGGGAGUAUCGACCCUCUCCGUGCCGAAGCUAACGCUUUAAGUGUCCCGCCUGGGGACUACGGCCGCAAGGCUAAAACUUAAAUGAAUUGACGGGG
RNAcentral lists this ribosomal RNA (415 nucleotides) under uncultured prokaryote. RNAcentral's name for it is "bacterial SSU rRNA". It matches the Rfam family "Bacterial small subunit ribosomal RNA", at positions 505 to 918 of the family's 1533-position model. The record is from RNAcentral.